Molecule: small RNA, 29 nt
Filed under: Bombyx mori (domestic silkworm)
Lineage: Eukaryota; Metazoa; Arthropoda; Insecta; Lepidoptera; Bombycidae
Description: piRNA piR-bmo-2096062
Source: RNAcentral
UUCAAUAGCUACUCUGGUCCUUCCAUGAA